Molecule: non-coding RNA, 1188 nt
Organism: Coturnix japonica (Japanese quail)
Lineage: Eukaryota; Metazoa; Chordata; Aves; Galliformes; Phasianidae
Source: RefSeq, a predicted model, not a curated record
UUGGAUGUUGUGUUGAGUGAUAUGAUUUAACUGGGAAGUAUUGGUAAUGGUUGGACUAGAUGAUCUUCUAGGUCUUUUCCAACCUUGAUAAUUCUGCGGGAAUUGUUCAAGUGAGAUCGCUGCUUAAGCUUUUCUAAUAGGCAGCCAGUCUCAUUGCUGCAAAGUGGGUUCAUGGGGUGUGCUCUCAGGAGAUACCUGAGGGCAUCAUGAUGGCAGCUGGAGCGGCACUGGCUCUCUGUCCUGGGCAGCCCUUGGGAUGUGGCAUGCCCCAUCUGUGCAUAGGGGGCUGCGCUAACACUAGCGCGCAGCAGCACUGCCACCCUGUGGCUUUUUGCUGGAACGGAUCCGUUUCAUUUCGGUGGUGAUGGUAAAACGAGACUCGCUUUUGAAAACGGGAAUUCUGGAUUUAGGCAGCUGUUAACACAGUGAUAUUUUUCCUGAUGAAGAAAUGAGCCCUCACCAUGCCACAGUUUCAUCUGUUUUUUCAGCCUGAGCAUUCCCCCUUUGAACAGGGAUGUGUUCAAGGUUUCAGCUCUAAAUAUAUGCUUGGACAAUAUGCAAACUUUUGAAAGUAGUUGUCACUACAGUGUCAUAGAAUGCAAAUGGAGUGAUUGGGCACUGUCCUGAUUUUAUGUGUAAGUUCAUCAGUUGUGCAUACCACCUUAUUUUACACUUAUACAGAUACAAAGCUGAUGAUCUUUAGCUGUCCUGCUCUUGUAAGUGUGACCCCAGCCAGUUCCGUUACCUUGUAUUUGAGGUCUCCAUCCCUGUUUGCAGUUCUCUAUUCUCUGUGGCUGUGUGGGUGAGGUCUUAGAGAUGUUCCACCCGCAGAAGAAGUGCAUGCUCUGACUUCACAGGUGCUGUACUGACGUCUCACAGGGAAGGCAUUGAGGCUGUUUCUGCUGCUUUCUUGCUGUGUAGUUUUAAAUUUUACUAUGCUUUUGUUUCUCAGUCAAUUGUUUGGAACGGAGAGAGGAGGUGAAGAUGUAAGGAGGCUGUUAACUAUGCUUGAAUGCUCUGUGGUUACUUAGGACUAUCGAUAUCAAUAUGAAGACACUGCACAUAUUUUUGUUCGGUAAUUACAGCAAUGGGAGUGAGCAAAAUGCAAUUCUGUGACAUUGUUAUCCAGAUGUAAUUGCAGGCAUCUGUAAAUAAAUACAUAAAUAAAUAAUCAUUCAACAACCUGAA